AAUUAACUGUGCAAACGCCACCAAAAAAGUUAAAGGUGUCAAUAAAAAUAUUUCCUUUCACCUUUUUCCGAAAUAUUCUCUUGUGAAAAAAUAAAUGGAUUGAAGCAACGGGUCGUAAAAACUGGUUUCCUACGAAACACAGGCUGAUUUGUUCCAUACAUUUUCACGAAGAUACGUUUACUGGCCCAUCAAAGUUUCGGCGAAUAAUGUUAAGUGGUUGAGGAGUUCCUUCCCUCUCUAUCAUUAGCUCAGCACCAUGAUACUAGAAUUUUAUAUUGUCACCUGACUUGCACAUGUAUGCAAACUUUCAGCUCAAUAAGUUGAGUAAAACUACUUUAAUAUUCAAUUGCAAGAUUUGAUACAUACAUACAUUCAUAUACACAUGCAUACUAAUGAAGUUUAAGUUAAUAAAAAGCUUGUAAAAAUUAA
This is a long non-coding RNA of Colias croceus (clouded yellow), 429 nucleotides long. RefSeq lists it as uncharacterized. Lineage: Eukaryota; Metazoa; Arthropoda; Insecta; Lepidoptera; Pieridae. The record is from RefSeq and is a predicted model, not a curated record. The transcript is spliced from 2 exons.